GAUUUUUAUGAAAGGACAGGAGGUUAUCACUCCCCUUGACAAGGAUGGAAGAGGCCCUCAGGUCUGCACAACAUGUACGUGGUUAAGGCAUUGCCACCAACUUCAUGGCAUCUAACCAUUUUUUUCA
This is a small nuclear RNA of Equus asinus (donkey), 127 nucleotides long. NCBI's taxonomy places the organism in Eukaryota, Metazoa, Chordata, Mammalia, Perissodactyla, Equidae. The record is from Ensembl.